CAGCUCGGCCGGCCUCUCGUCGGCAGCGAACGGGGCUGAAAGGUGCGGUGUGGGCAGCGGGGCGGGCUGGGUGUCUUCUACAGGGAUGGGAAAUAGAGUGCGCCUCCGUACUUAUUCCAGUGGUUUCUGCUGGAUGGCUGAGAUGUAUUAGAGGCAGAAAGCCCGGCGAGAGAAAAUCUGGUUCUCUCUCUUUCCAGCUCUAUGGGAUGAAUCACUGCUCUCGGUAGGGCUCCAGCACAACUAGAAACAGACUAUGACCGUGAGCAUUACAGGUGUUAAUGCUCUUGGACUCACCGUGUGCUAAUGUCAUGCUUGAGUUUCUUCGGAGAACAUGUCUUAGUUAUUUUUAUUGGAAAUACAAUUGGUUUAGUUCCCCUAAAACUUAAUUUCUUUUCAAAGCAGUUGCCAGAGAUCAAGCCUAUUCUUGACUCAGCAGCCUGGGUUUUGGCACUGAAAGGGCUAAAGGACUGACACUCUCCAGAGGCCUUCCAGCUGCUUCAAGAAUCACUACACCUUGCUGGAUCUGCAGUGACAUGAAGAAAGAUUAAAUGCUAGAGUUACUAAAUACAGAGGGAAAAGGAAAAAAAUAAAUCUAAUUCUGAAACCUUUUAGGUAAUUUUAUAAAAUUGUCACAAGAAAAGUGAAGCUUCACUUUAGCUCUCGCUUAAGAAAUUGGCGCUACUUUUCUACAUUUAAGCAGAGUUAUAUUUAAUAUCGGAGGAAGAAUUUAGCUUUUGUCACCACUGAAUUCUAAACAGUGUGACUAAAGCUCUGGUGCUGAGGCAAUGUGUUGCUUGCACUAACUCUGCUUUCCUAAGCAAUGCCUCCUACAAUUUCUCUAAACGAAGAAGCAGAUUGCACAAGUAUUUGUGCACAUGCCCAUUGGAGCUGCUUGUCAUGGGGAUAUUUUUUAAUGUAGUUAAUGGGGACAUUUUAUUCCAAAAAUCAAUGAUCCAGUUGUUUGUUUAGCUUAUAUUCAUUGCUUCAGCAAUGUAGAGGAGUGUGCAUUUGCUUGUAAUGUGGUGUCUGUGUAUUUACAUGUGUGUUUACACAUGUGCUGCCAGUAAGCAUGAGCUAUUUAAAUAAACACACGUGUAGGUAUCUGUCUCAAUAGCAAAAGUAGCCCAGUAAAACAUAGCCUGCUCACAACUCAGCAGCCCCUUGCCCACACUGGUAGCUUGGUACAAAUCAGAGGUGCAGCUCUGCCGGCUGUGCUGGAGUCAGGCACAGAGGAGGUGCAAGCAGAUGGGAAAGAUGCCUUAACUCAUUGAAACAAAAAUUAUAACAGCACACUUGUCAGAUGUCUAAAGAAUAAAGUUUUGCUAUGCUUUGUUCUUUACUGUCUGCAAUAGGUGGACCCAAAGUGGAAGACCUUCAAAAAUAUCCCAUUUUUUGGCCAAGAGUUGUAUUUGGCUGUCUGAAUCCUGCAACACAGAAUUUAGAGGAUGUAAUAUCCUUUCCCAUGUAUUUAAUCUUUAGCAAUUCUUGGUUUCCAGCUGGUGUGAACUGAUGUUGUUCCCCAAAGCUCCCUGUGGAUAAAGAUCCAGCUUUGAGCUGGGCGGAGAUUUGUCGCCCAAAGGUGCAGCUGUCAAUGGGUGCAUCAGUGGCAGGGUCUCCAAUGCUGAUCCAUUUCAUGCAUGCAUAUUCAAAACUUUCUUUCAAGGCAAAGGAAUGCAUUAGGAGAUCAAGAAUAUUUUCAGUGGUAGUAGAAAGAAAUCCUAAUUUGUGAUGGGGUGGCAUGUGAGACUAAGACCCCCAUGCUGACAGACUCAGUGAGUUGGGAAGAAGUGGUGCAGGAAGGAGCAACAGGACAACUGCUUUGUGAUUUUAUGGGAUCAUUCAUAAUGGCAUCAGGUCAGAGAAACAAUCAUUUAAUGGGGACGUUUGUUAUAACAUUCCAUCCACUGCCAUCAAAAUUUUUUGAGCCUGAGAUAAAAACCUUUUGCAUUUAUAGGUUAUUAGCAUCCUUUUUUAACUUUCUGUAGGCAGUUUGCAUAUAAAUCUCAUUUUAAGAAUAGUCCAUUAAACCCACAGCUGUCACUUGCUGAGAGAUCUGGGGUGGGGUUUUUUUUCAUCCUGAAAUCAUCUUUUUAAUGUCUUUUGUGCUUUUCCUUCAGAGCUUUGCCUCAUUUUUCUUUUUUUUUAUUCACCUGUUAAAAUUGCAGUUCUCUCUCACAGCUGGCAGAUUGGAAGUAAUGGAAUUUAACUGCUAUUGCAAUGAUUCUGAGCAAAAAAAAAAAUUUUUCAGUUCCUGAUUUUAGAAAUGUAUGUUUUACUAGCUCUUUCUCUUCAUUGCCACAUUUUCUAUCUCCACUUCAAAAUACAAAUACCCAUUGUUCUGCCUAAUAAUAUUUAUUUAAAAAUCAUCAACAUGAAUAAAUUCACACAUUCUCUCAUUUGAGAGACACUUGGUGUAAAGAGAUAGGAAAAUAAUUAAUGCUGAAAGGAAAUUAAAACACAGAGACACAGGUGUACCGCAGAGGUUUAGGCUGUAAAAGCAUCCCAUCAAAAACCUUCCAUUACUUCUCUCUAAACCAGAGAAGAAGAGGGAGUGGUAGAGGCUUAAACAUAGAAGGAUGCUCAAGUGGAGCUGUGUUUAGGAGCAUGGCUGAACCCAGGCUUAAGAUACCACCAUCAUCUUCAACUUCUUGCCCAUGCAUUUUUAUCUUCUGGAGAGAGCUGAAGCUAUCAGAGGGCUUUAUUCCAUUCAAAGUACAAAUGUGGAGAUGAAGGAAUGAAGUUGCAGGACAUGGAGAGUGGAUUUUACAAGAAUGUAAAACUAAGAUUACUUCAACCAACUCAGAAGUUCGGAGAAAAACAUAGAUGGGCUGAGAGUAACUGUUUAAAUUUCAGGGUUUGGUUGGUUGUUUGUUUGUUUUUUGUUUUGCUUUUUUUUUUUUACUGUCGAAGAAAGCAGAAAAAUGUAGGUUGUUCAAUCACAACUGCUAGGAAAACAUUUCUUUUCUUUCUGAAUGACAUAAAUCCCUUGGAAAAUUCAUAAAAGUGCCUGGCUAUGAUUGAAUAUUUCAUCU
This is a non-coding RNA of Zonotrichia albicollis (white-throated sparrow), 3032 nucleotides long. NCBI's taxonomy places the organism in Eukaryota, Metazoa, Chordata, Aves, Passeriformes, Passerellidae. The record is from RefSeq and is a predicted model, not a curated record.